GGUAGAAACCCAACAGCAUCAAGGGAAUAAAUGCCCAUACGAGCUCAGGAUUUGCAACAAAUGUGAUUGGCACACUGUGCAAGAUGAAGAGCACAUUAUUCUGGACUGCCCUUCUGAGGACAUGGCAGGCUUGCGCACUCAGUUUCAGCAUCUGUUUUCUUCAUUGCCUGAAAAUGGUGCAAUGCGGCUUCGAGACUUCAUGAACCAGACUGAUGUCUUAGAAUUAGCCAAGUUUGUGUCUGCUUGCUUGAAAUGCUGUGCCUGAGUUUUGAG
This 273-nucleotide long non-coding RNA is filed under the name Dunaliella salina. Its description in RNAcentral is "long non-coding RNA (DSAL_LNC000389)". The record is from RNAcentral. Lineage: Eukaryota; Viridiplantae; Chlorophyta; Chlorophyceae; Chlamydomonadales; Dunaliellaceae.